GGUAACGGCUCACCAAGGCGAUGAUCUUUAGGGGCCUGAGAGGGUGAUCCCCCACACUGGUACUGAGACACGGGACCAGACUCCUACGGGAGGCAGCAGUGAGGAAUAUUGGUCAAUGGGUGCAAGCCUGAACCAGCCAUCCCGCGUGAAGGACGACUGCCCUAUGGGUUGUAAACUUCUUUUGUAUAGGGAUAAACCUACCCUCGUGAGGGUAGCUGAAGGUACUAUACGAAUAAGCACCGGCUAACUCCGUGCCAGCAGCCGCGGUAAUACGGAGGGUGCAAGCGUUAUCCGGAUUUAUUGGGUUUAAAGGGUCCGUAGGCGGACUUAUAAGUCAGUGGUGAAAGCCUGUCGCUUAACGAUAGAACUGCCAUUGAUACUGUAAGUCUUGAGUAUAUUUGAGGUAGCUGGAAUAAGUAGUGUAGCGGUGAAAUGCAUAGAUAUUACUUAGAACACCAAUUGCGAAGGCAGGUUACCAAGAUAUAACUGACGCUGAGGGACGAAAGCGUGGGGAGCGAACA
Molecule: ribosomal RNA, 521 nt
Filed under: uncultured Bacteroidota bacterium
Lineage: Bacteria; Pseudomonadati; Bacteroidota
Description: bacterial SSU rRNA
Rfam family: Bacterial small subunit ribosomal RNA
Source: RNAcentral